This 1489-nucleotide long non-coding RNA is filed under the name Brassica rapa (field mustard). RNAcentral's name for it is "long non-coding RNA (BRAP_LNC008094)". Lineage: Eukaryota; Viridiplantae; Streptophyta; Magnoliopsida; Brassicales; Brassicaceae. The record is from RNAcentral.
UUAUAGUUUCAAGGAUUGACUAGAUUAUUUAAUUUUACAGAUUGCCUAUUAUAUAAAAGUUUGCUUUGUAUUGUUUUUAUUCAUUCAACCCUUUUAAUAAAAAUCUACUUUUUAAAUUUGUUGAAUCCUUUGUUCUUUGGAACAUCGUAAUGCUACGAGAGUGAUCUCCGUAAGCACGGUCUUGUUCACUAGUGGGGCUGCCUCUCACGGACUAAGACCAACCCAGCAAGUAUCUGGCCUUCCGCAGCCUUAUACUGAAGAACCAUCGAUCCACCUUUCCUUUAAUCCAUCUUUGGGUCAAAGUUUAUCCUUUUCACCAACCUUCGAGUGCAUUCCUUGGGAGAUUUUCUAUUAUUUGGUAUCAGAGCACACUUGAGGGUUCGGUGUUCACUUCUGUCAUUCAUCAUUCUCAUCUUUCCAUCUUCUACAAAAAAAAAAAAAAAAAUCCACGAGAAAACAAGAGAUCAUUCCAUCUGAAGUUAAAUCGAGACUGCUCCUCCAUCUCUCGUAAUGGCUCUAGGAGAUUGCUUCUCCGAAAGCAACCUGUUUUGAUCACUAGUGGGGCUGCCUCUCACGGUCACAGGUUCUAAACAUUAUGUCGGAUUUGAGGGCAAAUCCUUUUGAAGGAGGAGGGGAUGAUGUGACCUUGUUCAGGAACAAGCAAAUCAAGAGAUGUCCAAAAAAAAGAAAGGCUCACCAAGAAAAUACAAGCCAAUGUCGUAUAAUAUAUCAAUCUGACGGCAAUUCAGAGACCGUCGAUCAUGCAAAAGGAUGCGACCAGCCAAGGAAUUCUGCGAACACAAUUUCCAAAAUUCAGUCAACAGUCUUGGUCUUUGGUCAAGUCAAUAUUCCUAGUCAAGUCUUCAUAGUUUUAAGAUCUUUAUAGUUUCAAGGAUUGACUAGAUUAUUUAAUUUUACAGAUUGCCUAUUAUAUAAAAGUUUGCUUUGUAUUGUUUUUAUUCAUUCAACCCUUUUAAUAAAAAUCUACUUUUUAAAUUUGUUGAAUCCUUUGUUCUUUGGAACAUCGUAAUGCUACGAGAGUGAUCUCCGUAAGCACGGUCUUGUUCACUAGUGGGGCUGCCUCUCACGGACUAAGACCAACCCAGCAAGUAUCUGGCCUUCCGCAGCCUUAUACUGAAGAACCAUCGAUCCACCUUUCCUUUAAUCCAUCUUUGGGUCAAAGUUUAUCCUUUUCACCAACCUUCGAGUGCAUUCCUUGGGAGAUUUUCUAUUAUUUGGUAUCAGAGCACAAGAGAAAACAAGAGAUCAUUCCAUCUGAAGUUAAAUCGAGACUGCUCCUCCAUCUCUCGUAAUGGCUCUAGGAGAUUGCUUCUCCGAAAGCAACCUGUUUUGAUCACUAGUGGGGCUGCCUCUCACGGUCACAGGUUCUAAACAUUAUGUCGGAUUUGAGGGCAAAUCCUUUUGAAGGAGGAGGGGAUGAUGUGACCUUGUUCAGGAACAAGCAAAUCAAGAGAUGUCCAAAAAAAAG